Molecule: transfer RNA, 72 nt
Filed under: Camelus bactrianus (Bactrian camel)
Lineage: Eukaryota; Metazoa; Chordata; Mammalia; Artiodactyla; Camelidae
Also listed under: 1 other name
Rfam family: tRNA
About the family: Transfer RNA (tRNA) molecules are approximately 80 nucleotides in length.
Source: Rfam by way of RNAcentral
CGGAAUAUAGCUCAGUGGUAGAGUGCAUGCCUAGCAUGCACAAGGUCCUAGGUUCAAUCCCCAGUACUGCCA